RNAcentral lists this long non-coding RNA (363 nucleotides) under Manihot esculenta (cassava). Its description in RNAcentral is "long non-coding RNA (MESC_LNC004347)". Lineage: Eukaryota; Viridiplantae; Streptophyta; Magnoliopsida; Malpighiales; Euphorbiaceae. The record is from RNAcentral.
AGAAUCAAGCCAUUUCAGGGACUCAUGAUGAUGCUCGUAACUUGAGGUUCCAUUUGUGCUGCACAGAGAAAGUGGUCCGAUGCACCAAAUCUUCUUAACUACUUUUCUGUAUCCUUCAACAUAAGCUGGCUCCAAUUCUUCAAAAGUAUUCACCACCACUCCUUCUGCUGAGAGCUCAGCUUCCUUAAACUUUUCCAGUAACGGUUUCAAAUCUUGUCUUAUUUCUGGUAACUGUGCUUUAGUGAAUUCAAUCUUAUCAGGGAUGUCAGGAACUGAGAAAGAUUCUGAAUCAGAGGUGACACUUUCAAGAACCUUGUAGUGAGACUGAGAAAUGGAGUGAGAACAAAAGAGAGUGAAGCAAGA